UCCGCUGUUUAUUCAAAAACAUUUCUGAAUGAACUAGUAUUCAGUAGGGCCUGCUCAAUGAUUUAUUAAAUAGCCGCAAUUUUAUUGUGCUAAGGUAGCGUAAUCAUUUGCCUUUCAAUUGAAGGCUAGAAUGAAAGGUUUGACAUAUAAAUUUCUUUAUUAUCUGGAAUAUUCUAACUUUUCUUUCAAGUAAAAAGACUUGUAUAGUAAAGAAGGACGACAAGACCCUAUCGAACUUCACUCCUGUUGAACUGGGGCGGUAAAAAACUAAAUCUUUUAUUCAUUUUUCUCUCCAUCCUCGAUUUGAGAUUCAACUAAGUUACCGUAGGGAUAACAGCACAAUUUUUUCUUAAAGUUCUUAUAAAAGAAAAAGAUUAUGACCUCGAUGUUGAAUUAUUUAUCUUCUUGGAGCAAGAUCUAAAAAAGAAAGUCAGGCGACAUUCAAACC
This 448-nucleotide ribosomal RNA is filed under the name Aptostichus atomarius. RNAcentral's name for it is "partial 16S ribosomal RNA". It matches the Rfam family "Archaeal large subunit ribosomal RNA", at positions 1888 to 2663 of the family's 2987-position model. The record is from RNAcentral. Lineage: Eukaryota; Metazoa; Arthropoda; Arachnida; Araneae; Euctenizidae.